This 208-nucleotide ribosomal RNA is filed under the name uncultured delta proteobacterium. RNAcentral's name for it is "partial 16S ribosomal RNA". It matches the Rfam family "Bacterial small subunit ribosomal RNA", at positions 568 to 774 of the family's 1533-position model. Lineage: Bacteria; Deltaproteobacteria. The record is from RNAcentral.
CGUGUAGGCGGUCUCGCAAGUCGGAUGUGAAAGCCCUCGGCUUAACCGAGGAAAGUGCGUUCGAAACUACGAGACUUGAGUACCGGAGAGGGUGGCGGAAUUCCCGGUGUAGAGGUGAAAUUCGUAGAUAUCGGGAGGAACACCAGUGGCGAAGGCGGCCACCUGGACGGCUACUGACGCUGAGACGCGAAAGCGUGGGGAGCAAACA